RNAcentral lists this ribosomal RNA (303 nucleotides) under uncultured bacterium. Its description in RNAcentral is "partial 16S ribosomal RNA". It matches the Rfam family "Bacterial small subunit ribosomal RNA", at positions 507 to 807 of the family's 1533-position model. The record is from RNAcentral.
AGCAGCAGCCGCGGUAACACGAAGGGUGCAAGCGUUAAUCGGAAUUACUGGGCGUAAAGCGUGCGUAGGCGGUGAGUUAAGUCUGCUGUGAAAUCCCCGGGCUCAACCUGGGAAUGGCAGUGGAUACUGGCUCGCUAGAGUGUGUCAGAGGAUGGUGGAAUUCCCGGUGUAGCGGUGAAAUGCGUAGAGAUCGGGAGGAACAUCAGUGGCGAAGGCGGCCAUCUGGGACAACACUGACGCUGAGGCACGAAAGCGUGGGGAGCAAACAGGAUUAGAUACCCCCGUAGUUCCUGUCUCUUAUAC